RNAcentral lists this small RNA (300 nucleotides) under uncultured bacterium. RNAcentral describes it as "bacterial SSU rRNA". It matches the Rfam family "Bacterial small subunit ribosomal RNA", at positions 55 to 353 of the family's 1533-position model. The record is from RNAcentral.
AUAAUGCAAGUCGUGCGGAACCUUCGGGUUUAGCGGCGGACGGGUGAGUCCCACGUGGGCAAUCUGCCCGACAGACCGGGAUAACGCUUGGAAACGAGUGCUAAUACCGGAUACGCUUUUGAGGCGCAUGCCUCGAAAGGGAAAGCUGCUUUUGCAGCACUGUCGGAUGAGCCCGCGGCGCAUUAGCUAGUUGGUGAGGUAACGGCUCACCAAGGCGACGAUGCGUAGCCGACCUGAGAGGGUGGCCGGCCACACUGGGACUGAGACACGGCCCAGACUCCUACGGGAGGCAGCAGUGGG